AACGCGAAGAACCUUACCAAGGUUUGACAUACAGGGAAAAGCCGUAGAGAUAUGGUGUCCGUAAGGGUCCUGUACAGGUGGUGCAUGGCUGUCGUCAGUUCGUGUCGUGAGAUGUUGGGUUAAGUCCCGCAACGAGCGUAACCCUCGUCCUAUGUUGCCAGCGGGUAAUGCCGGGGACUCAUGGGAGACUGCCGGGGUCAACUCGGAGGAAGGUGGGGAUGAGGUCAAGUCAUCAUGCCCCUUAUGCCUUGGGCUGCAAACAUGCUACAAUGGCCGGUACAGAGGGCUGCGAGACCGCAAGGUGGAGCGAAUCUCAAAAAGCCGGUCUCAGUUCGGAUUGGGGUCUGCAACUCGACCCCAUGAAGUCGGAGUCGCUAGUAAUCGCGAAUCAGCAACGUCGCGGUGAAUACGUUCCCGGGCCUUGUA
This 426-nucleotide ribosomal RNA is filed under the name uncultured Actinomycetes bacterium. RNAcentral's name for it is "bacterial SSU rRNA". It matches the Rfam family "Bacterial small subunit ribosomal RNA", at positions 958 to 1385 of the family's 1533-position model. The record is from RNAcentral. Lineage: Bacteria; Bacillati; Actinomycetota; Actinomycetes.